Small nuclear RNA from Dendrobium catenatum, 99 nucleotides. NCBI's taxonomy places the organism in Eukaryota, Viridiplantae, Streptophyta, Magnoliopsida, Asparagales, Orchidaceae. The record is from RefSeq and is a predicted model, not a curated record.
CUAUUCGAUAAAACCAACAAAAUUAGAAAGAUACAUAGAAGAUUAGCAUGAUCCUUGAGAAAGGAUGAGACACUAAAUCGAGAAAUGAUCCAAAUUUUU